This 477-nucleotide ribosomal RNA is filed under the name uncultured bacterium. Its description in RNAcentral is "partial 16S ribosomal RNA". It matches the Rfam family "Bacterial small subunit ribosomal RNA", at positions 30 to 507 of the family's 1533-position model. The record is from RNAcentral.
AUUGAACGCUGGCGGCAUGCCUUACACAUGCAAGUCGAACGGUAACAGGUUAAGCUGACGAGUGGCGAACGGGUGAGUAAUGUAUCGGAACGUGCCCAGUCGUGGGGGAUAACUGCUCGAAAGAGCAGCUAAUACCGCAUACGACCUGAGGGUGAAAGCGGGGGAUCGCAAGACCUCGCGCGAUUGGAGCGGCCGAUAUCAGAUUAGGUAGUUGGGGAGGUAAAGGCUCACCCAGCCGACGAUCUGUAGCUGGUCUGAGAGGACGACCAGCCACACUGGGACUGAGACACGGCCCAGACUCCUACGGGAGGCAGCAGUGGGGAAUUUUGGACAAUGGGCGCAAGCCUGAUCCAGCCAUGCCGCGUGCGGGAAGAAGGCCUUCGGGUUGUAAACCGCUUUUGUCAGGGAAGAAAAGGUUCUGGCUAAUACCUGGGACUCAUGACGGUACCUGAAGAAUAAGCACCGGCUAACUACGUG